Molecule: long non-coding RNA, 2441 nt
Organism: Ceratitis capitata (Mediterranean fruit fly)
Lineage: Eukaryota; Metazoa; Arthropoda; Insecta; Diptera; Tephritidae
Exons: 3
Source: RefSeq, a predicted model, not a curated record
UUUUUUUUUUCAUUCGGGAAAUAUUUUCCAAAAAAUCGCCAAUUUGAAGUAAAUUCUAAAUGAUCGAUUAAUCGAUAUUUCCGAUAGUUUAGUACCUCUUUUUUAACAGACAGGCAAGUUAAUAUAUUUUCAAAUUAGUAUAUUUAAAAAAAGUUUGAGACUGCAAUGAAAGAUUUUACCCGACAGAUCAAAAUUAACCGUUGGAUGGCUGCCGGAAUCAAUUGCGCUGAAUAAAACCUCAGAUAAAUCUUCAGACUGUCGGCUUACUGCAAUUUUAAAUCUGCCAUAAGGCAUGAUAUGUUCAUAUUAAAAUACUUCCCGAAUUGGUUUCCGUGGAAUAUUGCGGGUGUGACAGUCCUUGGUCGGAUAAAAAACUGGGUAAUUUCGGAUUUGGAUUUUAGUCUCCUCUUACGACAAACAUGCCUUAUUACGGUUAAUUCUUUAGCUCCUAACCACAGACUUACUACUUACUUACCACGCUUGCAAACGUUUAAUGAAUAUCAUUUUGGAUGAGAUGGCUACUGAUUUUCACUAAAAACUUUUUUUCAUGCUGCACAUACUGGAAACUCUACGAACUCUGUAAAGGGCGAGAUGCAAUGGCAUUGGCUUGGCUUAACGAUAGAGUCAGUUUUUGCUCAUGUGGUAUCGAGUGGUAUAUAAAACGGUUGAAGGUCUGGUGGCAUAACCCACUGACAUCGUAAGCGUGUAAAAUGAGCGUUACAGUGCGUCAUACAGGAAAUGUUGCGAGGCAGGCAUGAGCGAAACGUAAGUGCACGUCCUUAUCAAGACAGGAAACGCCACGAUGGGUCAAUUUACCGAAUGAAAGGCCUAAAUAUGGUCACGUUCUUUAUGAACAGUCCCUAUGGACACUACUCAGAUAUCUAAUAGCUACGUAGUUCAGGGGCUUAUAACUAGGCUAAUGGAAGUCUCAAAUCGUCUUAAAGCGCUCUUACGCAAAGUUUUAUAUAACCUCUCUAACAUUACAAAUGACCAACUGGUUUAUGAAUAUGUGCAGCGUAACCUUAUCUAACCUCAACACUAGACUGACACAAUUUACAUAUUUUAAACCUUUUACCCCCGACUUUCCUUAAACAUAAUUAAUUUAUUUAUGUCAAUAAAAAUCGGAGACUGCGUGUGGGUUUAAAUACCAGAAGGAUGAAUUGUAUAUGUACCUCCUAUAAGGAUUUUAUGCCAAUCAGCCUUUUCUUUAUUUCGCUUCAAAGGACUGUACUUCCUGAAACAACGUCAGCUCUUGUUAAAUGAUAUGCUAUUGGCUAAGGCAGUAAGUUGAUGUCCUUUAGCUGGCACGGAUCUAACAUUUUGGCGUGGUGUUUACACAGUUUCUAUGUUAGCGUUAUUGGUAAGCGGAGAUCUUGAUGUGCACUGCUGUAUUAGUAGUUGGUGUAGCGGUUAGCAAAAAAAGGACGCGAUACUAAUCUAAGUCAUCGAGGUAAUCUAAUUUGAGAUACCGCAAACGGGCUGUUACGACAGGCACAGACCAAAGGGUAAGCAGAGGUUAGAUGGGUUGGUUUAGGUGGGAUGCAAAGAGUUAUUUAGUGUCUUGCAGGGUUUGAUUUAAUGCAGGACAUACAUAUGUAUGUACGUUUGGUAUGUCGGGGUCAAGUCUGGAUAAAUAAGAAUUAAGUCGACCACAAUAUCCAGAACUUAGUUGUUCCAGUAUAACUCGGAUCUCUCGAGACAGCUCGAGCGUUAAAUGAAGGCCUUACGAAAUACUGUUCACAAACAGUGAAAAGUCUUUCGAAAACCGUUUAUAGUGUUCUUCGGUUGAAAAUGGAUACAAACUAUUUUGUAGUCAGAGUUUUCGUGGAUUUUAGAUCAAUGGAUGUUCUUGACAAUAGUAAGAAUAUUAUGGAGUUCUGAUUUGUUGUUGCUUUAGCUUCUUAAUCGUAGAGGAAGGGCAGAAUCUCCCUACUAUCAGAGUGGGCGUAGAACCUCUCAACAUUAAGUCAAGUGGGGAACAGUUACUCACCACAACCCUCCGAGAAAGAAAAUUCGUUCUCACCGCCUUUAGAUACAGGUUCGUAAAGGCGGAGAGCAGAGAGUUAGUACGCUCGCACUAAGGACUAGGUAAUGCGUCACUUAUUUUUUGUUAAUAGAGCAGUCAGCUCUGUACUCCUAUAUCUCUUCUCUAGUCCUCUCUGUACGCGCAAACGUGUGGUGCGCUGUUUAAUUUGAAGAAGAUUAUGUAUUAUGUACAUGUGUAGCGUUGUUGCUGCGUUACGUACAUUACUGUGGGCCGAUGUGCUGAUUUACCGUUAUGUUGUUACGGUGAUGCGUGGAUGUGAAAUUGUAUUAUAUUAUAUGUUGAUGUGAUAAACUUUAUUUGCUAAUAAAUAAUUUAAAAACGAAUUAUAAGCACAUUAGAUCUUGCUGAUAUGUUAAUAUGUAUAUGUUAUGACUUCGUUUUUUAUUUAGAGUAU